This is a non-coding RNA of Dermochelys coriacea (leatherback sea turtle), 834 nucleotides long. The record is from the annotation of a RefSeq genome assembly. Lineage: Eukaryota; Metazoa; Chordata; Testudines; Dermochelyidae.
GUGGGUCAAGAGGGGGAGAGAGGGAACGUGUGAAAGGAGAAUUUGAAUAUUGGUGUCAAAUGUCUGAAGAGCAGCGUAUCCGGCCUCUGCGAUCAGGGCAGGAAGAUGCCGGAGCGUCUGUGGCUGCUUCUCACUCUCCUGACCCUCCCGCACUAUGGGCGCUCUCAGACUCUCCACCAGACCCCCCGAUUCAUUUCUCUGCCCCCCGGCUCCUCUGUCCAGCUGCACUGCUACCUGCAGGGAUACAGUUCAACCCCCUGGAUGUACUGGUACCGGCAGCCUCCCCAGGGUGGAGCCCUGCACAUGCUCUUUCUCUCCAGAGGGAAGGAUUUGAUUGACCACAGUUCGGAGAGACACUUUCGGGCUGCCCGACCGACCGAGCAGAACUUCUCACUGAGCACAGACGGCCUCUUCCCCAACGACACGGGGCUGUAUUACUGCGCCUGGAGCCGCACACUGAGCCAAGCAGGUGCAGCCCCUGGACAAAAACUCUGCCUCCCCGCCCCGCUGUGAGGAGCUGAGCUGAGAUCAGGUUUCACCCACUAGCUCAGUCCCCUGCCCUGUCCCUUCCCACAGACACCGUGAGUCAGAGCCCCAGCUUCUCCCUUCGUUCCUUGAAGCGGAACAUCUGUGUCAUGUUUCAUCACAGCUAUUAGCGAUGGAAGAGAUAUCUGAGGCCUCAUCUGAUCCAAGCCCUUUCCAGCCACUGCAGGAUUAUUCCCUGUGGUGUAUUCACCAGCCUAGGUACAAAUGGACAUUAUUUUCUCCCUCCAGGGGGACUACUGCCUUUCUAACACACACCUCGCCUUCAGGGAAAAUUUCCCAUUUCUCCAG